This 983-nucleotide ribosomal RNA is filed under the name Listeria monocytogenes. RNAcentral's name for it is "bacterial LSU rRNA". It matches the Rfam family "Bacterial large subunit ribosomal RNA", at positions 408 to 1392 of the family's 2925-position model. Lineage: Bacteria; Bacillati; Bacillota; Bacilli; Caryophanales; Listeriaceae. The record is from RNAcentral. RNAcentral also lists the same sequence under 1 other name.
CUGAGUACGGCGGAACACGUGAAAUUCCGUCGGAAUCCGGGAGGACCAUCUCCCAAGGCUAAAUACUCCCUAGUGACCGAUAGUGAACCAGUACCGUGAGGGAAAGGUGAAAAGCACCCCGGAAGGGGAGUGAAACAGUUCCUGAAACCGUGUGCCUACAAGUAGUUAGAGCCCGUUAAUGGGUGAUAGCGUGCCUUUUGUAGAAUGAACCGGCGAGUUACGAUUUGUUGCAAGGUUAAGCGGAAAAAGCGGAGCCGUAGCGAAAGCGAGUCUGAAUAGGGCGCAUAAGUAACAGGUCGUAGACCCGAAACCAGGUGAUCUACCCAUGUCCAGGAUGAAGGUAAGGUAAUACUUACUGGAGGUCCGAACCCACGCACGUUGAAAAGUGCGGGGAUGAGGUGUGGGUAGCGGAGAAAUUCCAAUCGAACUUGGAGAUAGCUGGUUCUCUCCGAAAUAGCUUUAGGGCUAGCCUCGAGGUAAAGAGUCAUGGAGGUAGAGCACUGUUUGGACUAGGGGCCCUUCUCGGGUUACCGAAUUCAGAUAAACUCCGAAUGCCAUGUACUUAUACUCGGGAGUCAGACUGCGAGUGAUAAGAUCCGUAGUCGAAAGGGAAACAGCCCAGACCACCAGUUAAGGUCCCCAAAUAUAUGUUAAGUGGAAAAGGAUGUGGGGUUGCUUAGACAACCAGGAUGUUGGCUUAGAAGCAGCCACCAUUGAAAGAGUGCGUAAUAGCUCACUGGUCGAGUGACCCCGCGCCGAAAAUGUACCGGGGCUAAACAUAUUACCGAAACUGUGGAUGAACCUCUUUAGAGGUUCGUGGUAGGAGAGCGUUCUAAGGGCGGUGAAGUCAGACCGGAAGGACUGGUGGAGCGCUUAGAAGUGAGAAUGCCGGUAUGAGUAGCGAAAGAAGGGUGAGAAUCCCUUCCACCGAAUAUCUAAGGUUUCCUGAGGAAGGCUCGUCCGCUCAGGGUUAGUCGGGACCU